GAUGAACGCUGGCGGCGCGCCUAACACAUGCAAGUCGAACGGUUAAAGCACCUUUUAGGUGUGUAUAAAGUGGCGAACGGCUGAGUAACACGUGGGCAACCUGCCCUCCUCUUGGGGAUAGCCUCGGGAAACCGAGGAUAAUACCCGAUACUUCAAUGUGGCCGCAUGACGACAUUGAGAAAGCUUUUGCGGAGAAGGAUGGGCCCGCGGCCUGUUAGCUUGUUGGUGGGGUAGAGGCCUACCAAGGCAAUGAUGGGUAGCUGGGUUGAGAGACCGACCAGCCAGAUUGGGACUGAGACACGGCCCAGACUCCUACGGGAGGCAGCAGUGGGGAAUCUUGCACAAUGGGCGAAAGCCUGAUGCAGCGACGCCGCGUGCGGGAAGAAGGCCUUCGGGUUGUAAACCGCUUUCAGCAGGGACGAGGCGAAAGGACGGUACCUGCA
This 443-nucleotide ribosomal RNA is filed under the name Lancefieldella rimae. RNAcentral's name for it is "bacterial SSU rRNA". It matches the Rfam family "Bacterial small subunit ribosomal RNA", at positions 28 to 483 of the family's 1533-position model. Lineage: Bacteria; Bacillati; Actinomycetota; Coriobacteriia; Coriobacteriales; Atopobiaceae. The record is from RNAcentral.